GGAGAGGUGGCUGAGUGGCUUAAAGCAUCCUCCUGCUAAGAGGAAGUGGGUAGUUAAUGCCCACCGGGGGUUCUCCCGAAGGGAGACGCUACGCGAACAAAUCCCUCUCUCUCCG
Molecule: transfer RNA, 115 nt
Filed under: Richelia sp. RM1_1_1
Lineage: Bacteria; Bacillati; Cyanobacteriota; Cyanophyceae; Nostocales; Nostocaceae
Also listed under: 3 other names
Description: tRNA-Ser
Rfam family: tRNA
About the family: Transfer RNA (tRNA) molecules are approximately 80 nucleotides in length. Their secondary structure includes four short double-helical elements and three loops (D, anti-codon, and T loops).
Source: RNAcentral